GAAAGUAAGUAAGGGCGUAUGGGGGAUGCCUAGGCUCUUGGAGGCUAAGAAGGACGUGGUAAGCUGCGAAAAGCUGCGGGGAUUUGCAAACGAGACUCGAUCCGCAGAUAUCCGAAUGGGACAACCCGGCAGGUAGAAGACCUGUCACACCGCGAGGUGAGCUAACCCUCUGAACUGAAACAUCUAAGUAGGAGGAGGAAAAGAAAGAAACAUCGAUUUCCAAAGUAGCGGCGAGCGAAAUGGAAGAAGCCCAAACCGAUAUUGUUACGGCAAUAUCGGGGUUGUAGGACUGCAAUAUUCAAUUAACAAUGAACUGGAAUGGUCUGGAAAGUCCAUCCAUAGAGAGUGAAAGGCUCGUACAGGUAAGUUUGUUAUGCGAAAGCAGUAUCCUGAGUAUGGCGGGACACGAGGAAUCCUGUCAGAAUCAGCCGGGACCACCCGGUAAGGCUAAAUACUCCCAAGAGACCGAUAGUGGACCAGUACUGUGAAGGAAAGGUGAAAAGAACCCCGAACAGGGGAGUGAAAUAGAACCUGAAACCAUACGCUUACAACCGGUCGGAGCAGCUUCGUGCUGUGACGGCGUGCCUAUUGAAUAAUGAGCCUACGAGUUACUAAUCACUAGCGAGGUUAAGUGCAAGGAUGCACGGAGCCGAAGCGAAAGCGAGUCUGAACAGGGCGUUUAGUUAGUGGUUGUAGACGCGAAACCUUGCGAUCUACCCUUGAGCAGGUUGAAGGUUGGGUAAAACCAACUGGAGGACCGAACGAAUAAGCGUUGAAAAGCUUCUCGAUGACUUGAGGGUAGGGGUGAAAGGCUAAUCAAGCUGGGAAAUAGCUCGUACUCCCCGAAAUGCCUUUAGGGGCAGCGUUGUAAUUAAGAGUCUACUGGAGGUAGAGCUACUGAUUGGAUGCGGGGGCUUCACCGCCUACCAAAUCCUGACAAACUCCGAAUGCCAGUAGUAUGAUUUACAGCAGUGAGCGACCGGGUGCUAAUGUCCGGUUACGAGAGUGGAACAACACAGACCAGCAACUAAGGUCCCCAAGAGUAUACUAAGUUGAUCUAACGAUGUUUUGCUGCAGAGACAGCUAGGAUGUUAGCUUGGAAGCAGCUAUUCAUUCAAAGAGUGCGUAACAGCUCACUAGUCGAGCGGCAAAGCGUGGAUAAUAAACGGGCAUCAAGUAUACCACCGAAGUUCUGGGCACGAAAGUGCGGUAGGGGAGCAUUCCAUUCCGCGUUGAAGCCGAACCGUGAGGUUUGGUGGAGUGUAUGGAAAAGCAAAUGUAGGCAUGAGUAACGAUAAUGCGGGAGAGUAACCCGCACACCGCAAGACCAAGGUUUCCUGAUCAACGCUAAUCGGAUCAGGGUUAGUCGGGUCCUAAGGGUAAGCCGAACGGUGAUCUCGAUGGAUAAUCGGUUAAUAUUCCGAUACUGACAUAUACCUCGAUGGAGAGACGAAGGAACGUAAGUGCCGCCACCUGACGGAAUAGGUGGUUAAAGGGCUUAGGUAUAGGGACAGAUUAAGAGUUAGUCCUUGCUGAAACCUGACAGUACAGAGAGCCUACGGGCAAUUUGAUAGUGCACCCAAGUCGACUUCCGAGAAAAUCUUCUAAGUUAUAGUAUAUGUCACCCGUACCGUAAACCGACACAGGUGGUCGAGGAGAGUAUCCUAAGGUGCUCGAGUGAAUCACGGUUAAGGAACUAGGCAAAUUAACCCCGUAACUUCGGGAAAAGGGGUCCCAUCGCGAGGUGGGCGCAGCGAAGAGGUCCAGGCGACUGUUUAUCAAAAACACAGGGCUCUGCAAAUUCGAAAGAAGACGUAUAGGGCCUGACACCUGCCCGGUGCUGGAAGGUUAAGAGGGGAUGUCAUCGCAAGAGAAGCAUUGAAUCGAAGCCCCAGUAAACGGCGGCCGUAACUAUAACGGUCCUAAGGUAGCGAAAUUCCUUGUCGGGUAAGUUCCGACCUG
Molecule: ribosomal RNA, 1962 nt
Filed under: human gut metagenome
Description: bacterial LSU rRNA
Rfam family: Bacterial large subunit ribosomal RNA
Source: RNAcentral